RNAcentral lists this non-coding RNA (158 nucleotides) under Pseudomonas sp. RNAcentral's name for it is "FMN sequence". It matches the Rfam family "FMN riboswitch aptamer (RFN element)". From Rfam's summary of the family: The RFN element is a highly conserved domain that is found frequently in the 5'-untranslated regions of prokaryotic mRNAs that encode for flavin mononucleotide (FMN) biosynthesis and transport proteins. The record is from RNAcentral. Lineage: Bacteria; Pseudomonadati; Pseudomonadota; Gammaproteobacteria; Pseudomonadales; Pseudomonadaceae. RNAcentral also lists the same sequence under 1 other name.
CAACGUUCUCAGGGCGGGGUGUAAUUCCCCACCGGCGGUAAUGAUGCGCAAAGCGUCUAGCCCGCGAGCGCUUGUUCAGCUUGUCGAGUGAGCAAGGACAGCAGACCCGGUGUGAUUCCGGGGCCGACGGUUAAAGUCCGGAUAAAGAGAGAGCGGGA